This 253-nucleotide ribosomal RNA is filed under the name uncultured bacterium. RNAcentral's name for it is "partial 16S ribosomal RNA". It matches the Rfam family "Bacterial small subunit ribosomal RNA", at positions 524 to 776 of the family's 1533-position model. The record is from RNAcentral.
UACGGAGGGUGCAAGCGUUGUUCGGAUUGAUUGGGCGUAAAGCGCACGUAGGCGGGUUCAUAAGUCGAAUGUGAAAGCCCUAGGCUCAACCUAGGAAUUGCAUCCGAAACUGUGGGUCUUGAAUACUCGAGAGGCUGGUGGAAUACCUGGUGUAGGAGUGAAAUCCGUAGAUAUCAGGUGGAAUAUCGGAGGCGAAGGCGGCCGGCUGGUGAUGUAUUGACGCUGAGGUGCGAAAGCGUGGGGAGCAAACAGG